UUUGACCUCGGAUCAGGUAGGAAUACCCGCUGAAC
RNAcentral lists this ribosomal RNA (35 nucleotides) under Harknessia fusiformis. Its description in RNAcentral is "partial 28S ribosomal RNA". Lineage: Eukaryota; Fungi; Ascomycota; Sordariomycetes; Diaporthales; Harknessiaceae. RNAcentral also lists the same sequence under 2 other names. The record is from RNAcentral.